Molecule: ribosomal RNA, 1356 nt
Filed under: uncultured bacterium
Lineage: Bacteria
Description: bacterial SSU rRNA
Rfam family: Bacterial small subunit ribosomal RNA
Source: RNAcentral
AUUGAACGCUGGCGGCAUGCCUUACACAUGCAAGUCGAACGGCAGCGCGGGAGCAAUCCUGGCGGCGAGUGGCGAACGGGUGAGUAAUACAUCGGAACGUGCCCAAUCGUGGGGGAUAACGCAGCGAAAGCUGUGCUAAUACCGCAUACGAUCUACGGAUGAAAGCAGGGGAUCGCAAGACCUUGCGCGAAUGGAGCGGCCGAUGGCAGAUUAGGUAGUUGGUGAGGUAAAGGCUCACCAAGCCUUCGAUCUGUAGCUGGUCUGAGAGGACGACCAGCCACACUGGGACUGAGACACGGCCCAGACUCCUACGGGAGGCAGCAGUGGGGAAUUUUGGACAAUGGGCGAAAGCCUGAUCCAGCCAUGCCGCGUGCAGGAUGAAGGCCUUCGGGUUGUAAACUGCUUUUGUACGGAACGAAAAGUCUCUUUCUAAUAAAGAGGGAUCAUGACGGUACCGUAAGAAUAAGCACCGGCUAACUACGUGCCAGCAGCCGCGGUAAUACGUAGGGUGCAAGCGUUAAUCGGAAUUACUGGGCGUAAAGCGUGCGCAGGCGGUUAUGUAAGACAGUUGUGAAAUCCCCGGGCUCAACCUGGGAACUGCAUCUGUGACUGCAUAGCUAGAGUACGGUAGAGGGGGAUGGAAUUCCGCGUGUAGCAGUGAAAUGCGUAGAUAUGCGGAGGAACACCGAUGGCGAAGGCAAUCCCCUGGACCUGUACUGACGCUCAUGCACGAAAGCGUGGGGAGCAAACAGGAUUAGAUACCCUGGUAGUCCACGCCCUAAACGAUGUCAACUGGUUGUUGGGUCUUCACUGACUCAGUAACGAAGCUAACGCGUGAAGUUGACCGCCUGGGGAGUACGGCCGCAAGGUUGAAACUCAGAGGAAUUGACGGGGACCCGCACAAGCGGUGGAUGAUGUGGUUUAAUUCGAUGCAACGCGAAAAACCUUACCCACCUUUGACAUGUACGGAAUUUGCCAGAGAUGGCUUAGUGCUCGAAAGAGAGCCGUAACACAGGUGCUGCAUGGCUGUCGUCAGCUCGUGUCGUGAGAUGUUGGGUUAAGUCCCGCAACGAGCGCAACCCUUGUCAUUAGUUGCUACAUUCAGUUGGGCACUCUAAUGAGACUGCCGGUGACAAACCGGAGGAAGGUGGGGAUGACGUCAAGUCCUCAUGGCCCUUAUAGGUGGGGCUACACACGUCAUACAAUGGCUGGUACAAAGGGUUGCCAACCCGCGAGGGGGAGCUAAUCCCAUAAAACCAGUCGUAGUCCGGAUCGCAGUCUGCAACUCGACUGCGUGAAGUCGGAAUCGCUAGUAAUCGUGGAUCAGAAUGUCGCGGUGAAUACGUUCCCGGGUCU